RNAcentral lists this long non-coding RNA (2562 nucleotides) under Oryza sativa (Asian cultivated rice). Its description in RNAcentral is "long non-coding RNA (OSAT_LNC000859)". Lineage: Eukaryota; Viridiplantae; Streptophyta; Magnoliopsida; Poales; Poaceae. The record is from RNAcentral.
GAAUCCUGAAUGCCGCAGCGGCGCAGCCGCCUCGGCUGCUUCCCGUCGGGCGGCGCUCCCAUGGAAGGAUGGGGAUUGGUUCCGUUAACGCAGAUGGUGCGUAUUUCUUCAGGCCUUAGAUCCAUGAGAGUUCCAGUGCGCCAUUGAUUAAUAGGGUUUAUCCAGAUCUCCACUGUGGAAUGUGGAUUGUGAUUGAGAGUAUUGCUUCCUGGUUGGUGGUGGUGUGCAGGUUUCGCCUUGGCCUGGGGCUUUCCAUGAAUAAGGCGGCGCCGGCGUGCUUUGCUGCUUUGGACAACGCAGCAGCGGAUGCCCUUCAAAGUUCAAACUCGUCACCUGUAAGCAGACUGCUUCUUUCCUAUGCAAUGCUAUCAAAUGAUAGGAUUUGGCCAAACGAUUUGCAUUUAUUAGUCUGCAAAUUUCAGAGCAAGCCAAGGCUGCAGUAGCAGAAAUAGUUAAGUUUCUGAAAUAUGGAUGUAUGGAAGCAUUCCUUUUAUGCAACCAAGCAACAAAGAAAAUGCUGGUUACAAUGUAUUGCUCAGAACAUUUUCUGUGUAUAAAUUUGAAUUGCUAAUGUAUAAGUGUACAACUACAAGCUACAGAAGUUUAUAGACUAAACAGGGAAUGGUGUAAUAAACAUUUAACGUCCCUCUAGUGCUGUGAUACUCACGUUAUUUACAGAUCUUUCCUUGUUUUCUCUAGUGUCUUUAGUUCCAUAGACCCUAGCUGUCAAAUAAGCAGACUCCUUUGGGGUAGGAAGAGCAGCUGUCUCGUUCUCUAACAUGAACACAAUGGAUGACAUGAGUGGCCUGGCAGUUGGGUCAUCUUGAACACAUGAAAGUGCUAUUUGAAUACAUCGUAAAACUUCGUGAAGUAGACAACUCUCCCGAAUUGAUGAGUCCACCAAAUCCAUUGCAUUUCCAUCUUUCCAUAAACUCCACGCCUGAACCAAGAUAUACAAGAAAGUUGUGGUCAAUUUAUUUUGCAAUGUUUUACUGAUUAAAAUGUUGAGGAUUGCAGUCCACUUACGAAGGUUAUAAGAUUUUGGAAAUCCAUUAUGAGAUGGGGCGAACUGAUCUUUAAGCCACUUACAAGCUCCAACAGUAGCACCCCAAAACUGUAGGUGUCAGACUUGACAGAAAAGGAGCCUUCCAAAGCAUAUUCAGGAGACAUGUAACCGCUGUUUAGAUCAUUCCAAAAACAAUGUAAUGUGCAGUUUGAAUUAGUUAUAAUGAAAACAUAUAUCAUUAGGUGGUCUACAGGUUACUUACUAUGUCCCAACUACUCUGGUAGUAUUUUCUUGUUGCUUAUUUCCUUCAAAGAUCCUUGCCAUCCCAAAAUCUGAUAUUUUGGGACUCAUAUUUGUGUCCAACAAGAUGUUGCUUGCUUUGAGAUCCCUGUGAAUUAUCGUUAACCUUGAAUCUUGGUGCAAAUAAAGAAGCCCUCUCGCUAUACCUUUGAUUAUCAUGAACCGGGUCGUCCAAUCGAGAACUGAUUUUCUUUUAGCAUCUUCCAAGAUUAAUGUGAAACAAAGUUAAUUGUCAUUAACCAUGAAUAUCCUCAAGAAUGUUUGUAUUAUACGACCACAAAUAAGUGAGUAACAACGUACCAAAAAGGAAAGUAUCCAAGCUUUUAUUAGGCAAGUAUUCGUAGAUGAGUAACUUCUCAUCUUCGUGAAUGCAAUAACUGAUAAGCCUAACUAAAUUUCUAUGCUGCAAUUUGGCAAUCAGAACUACUUCAUUUCUGAACUCCUCCACACCUUGCUGAGAACCCUUACUAAGCCUUUUGACUGCAAUCUCCUUGCCACCUUCCAACACUCCCUGCACAAGCACACACUCUUUCAAUUGAACAAGAGAAUAUAAAAGAUAUUUCUUCUGAAAUUGCCAAGGUAAAACCUUUUGUACCUUGUAAACUUUUCCAAAACCACCUUUCCCAAGCAUGUUGUGAUCAGAAAAAUUGUUCGUUGCAGUGACAAUGUCUUCUAAGCAAAUAAAUGGAAGUUCUAGAUUGUCAUUCUCAAGUUCACUGGAAUCCUUCAAAUGUUGUAGUCUAUGUUUCUUCUGAAUUUCCUUGCUUCGGUGUAUGCCUGGCAGGAAAGCCUUUCAUAUAAAUUGUUACCUUAGAAACAAUGCAGCCUGAAAAGCUUAGUUGGUGUUGGCCUACCUCUUGAUUUGCAUAUCCACGCAAGACAUAUGCACAUGAGUAUCAACAGGCUUGUUAUAACCGGAAGUACGAUCUUCGGGAUGUCACUCUUCUUCUUGUUAACUGCAGAAUACGGCCCACCAAGAGAACACGGAUUAUAAAAUUUGAGGUUGAUAUGGAGUAGCACAUUGGAUAUAUGUUCUUUUUCCUUUAACAGAAGGUAUAUAUUCCUUUUUUGUUUUCUUCAGAAGAGUCCUAUCAAGUAGUGAACAUUUUUUUGUUCGUGGAAAAUCUUGGCCUGGCAAGACCUCUGCAUAUUCAGUUCUUCAGAAAUUCUAUACCAUGCCUUGCAAGUGUAUAUAUGGAUGUUGCUUUUAAUUCGAUGAGCAGGCUAUCUAAUUAAGAGCUUUAUUUUCACCGCAG